CAAUCCGUGAGGUGACACACUUGGGAGAAAUACCGCACGUGUAUUAAAACAGGCCCCUGCUGAAAGAGGACGUGCCCUGCCUGCAGCCAGUGACAGUGGAAGGAGAGAGAGGCUCCUGGAAGUGGCUCUCUAAGGCAAAAUACAAUGUCAUCAUAGCUCAUUGUAACCUCAAACUCCUGGGCUCAAGCGAUCCCCCUGUCUCACCCUCCGAGUAGCUGGGACUGCAAGGUUGCAUCUUCAUAACUGGAAUGUGGACACAAUGCUGGAGUUUCAGCAGACAUCUUGGACAGUGAAGUGACUUUGAAGAGGAAAGCCACAUGCUGAAUGAAGAUGACAAAGCAGAAACCUAGGCACCUGGGCCACUGGUGACACAGGAACCAGCUCUGUAAUACCUACCACCAAACUUCCUAUAUGUGACAGAGAAAUAAACUCAUCUUGUUUAAAUUAAA
Long non-coding RNA from Nycticebus coucang (slow loris), 449 nucleotides. RefSeq lists it as uncharacterized. NCBI's taxonomy places the organism in Eukaryota, Metazoa, Chordata, Mammalia, Primates, Lorisidae. The record is from RefSeq and is a predicted model, not a curated record. The transcript is spliced from 3 exons.